GAUUAACGCUAGCGGCAGGCAUAAUACAUGCAAGUUGAACGGCAGCACAGGUAGCAAUACUGGGUGGCGAGUGGCGCACGGGUGCGUAACACGUAUGCAACCUACCCUAUACAGGCGAAUAACCUUUAGAAAUGAGGGCUAAUACGCCGUAGUAUUACCGAUGGGCAUCUAUUUGUAAUUAAAGAUUUAUCGGUAUAGGAUGGGCAUGCGUCCCAUUAGUUAGUUGGUAAGGUAACGGCUUACCAAGACGAUGAUGGGUAGGGGAUCUGAGAGGACUUACCCCCACACUGGUACUGAGACACGGACCAGACUCCUACGGGAGGCAGGAGUAAGGAAUAUUGAGCAAUGGCCGCGAGGCUGACCCAGCCAUGCCGCGUGCAGGAAGACGGCCUUAUGGGUUGUAAACUGCUUUUAUACGGGAAUAAUAGAGUGUACGCGUACAUUUAUGAAAGUAUCGUAUGAAUAAGCAUCGGCUAACUACGUG
This 484-nucleotide ribosomal RNA is filed under the name uncultured bacterium. RNAcentral describes it as "partial 16S ribosomal RNA". It matches the Rfam family "Bacterial small subunit ribosomal RNA", at positions 28 to 507 of the family's 1533-position model. The record is from RNAcentral.